This 424-nucleotide ribosomal RNA is filed under the name Verrucomicrobiota bacterium. RNAcentral's name for it is "Verrucomicrobia bacterium partial 16S ribosomal RNA". It matches the Rfam family "Bacterial small subunit ribosomal RNA", at positions 355 to 776 of the family's 1533-position model. Lineage: Bacteria; Pseudomonadati; Verrucomicrobiota. The record is from RNAcentral.
UGAGGAUUAUUGGUCAAUGGACGAGAGUCUGAACCAGCCAAGUAUCGUGCAGGAUGACGGCCCUAUGGGUUGUAAACUGCUUUUGUUUGGGAAUAAUCGACAUUACGUGUAAUGUUUUGCAUGUACCAUUCGAAUAAGGACCGGCUAAUUCCUUGCCAGCAGCCGCGGUAAUACGGAAGGUCCAGGCGUUAUCCGGAUUUAUUGGGUUUAAAGGGGGUGUAGGCGGUUGGUUAAGCGUGUUGUGAAAUGUAGAUGCUCAACAUCUGACUUGCAGCGCGAACUGGCUGACUCGAGUACACACAACGUAGGUGGAAUUCAUGGUGUAGCGGUGAAAUGCUUAGAUAUCAUGAAGAACUCCGAUUGCGAAGGCAGCUUACGGGAGUGUUAAUGACGCUUAAGCUUGAAGGUGGGGGUAUCGAACAGG